GAGUUUGAUCAUGGCUCAGAUUGAACGCUGGCGGUAUGCUUAACACAUGCAAGUCGAACGGUAACAGGAGAGAGCUUGCUCUUUUGCUGACGAGUGGCGGACGGGUGAGUAAUGCGUAGGAAUCUGCCUAGUAGUGGGGGACAAUGUGUGGAAACGCACGCUAAUACCGCAUACGCCCUACGGGGAAAGCGGGGGAUCUUCGGACCUCGCGCUAUUAGAUGAGCCUACGUUAGAUUAGCUAGUUGGUGGGGUAAAGGCCUACCAAGGCGACGAUCUAUAGCUGGUCUGAGAGGAUGAUCAGCCACACUGGGACUGAGACACGGCCCAGACUCCUACGGGAGGCAGCAGUGGGGAAUAUUGGACAAUGGGCGAAAGCCUGAUCCAGCAAUACCGCGUGUGUGAAGAAGGCC
Molecule: ribosomal RNA, 410 nt
Filed under: uncultured microorganism
Description: bacterial SSU rRNA
Rfam family: Bacterial small subunit ribosomal RNA
Source: RNAcentral